UAUACGAUGAACUGCACCAUAAGGAAAGUACGAGCAAAUUAAGGCUUCGCGAUUCAUUCAUCUGUGCUUAGAAAAAAUGUACCGAGGCAGAGGCUUGUGGAUAUAACGAUGUUGCAGACAGGAAGCUUCGGGAUUUUGAAGCACGUGAAGAUGAACUCAGGCGGAAAAUCAUAUCUUUCAAAUCAGAAUAUGUGUUUCUAUGACUACAGUUUACAUGUUUAAUAUUCAAAUGUUACGGAAUCAGCUUGCUUUUUGCUCUUAGAAAUAU
RNAcentral lists this small RNA (268 nucleotides) under Vigna angularis var. angularis. RNAcentral's name for it is "Non-protein coding transcript". The record is from RNAcentral. Lineage: Eukaryota; Viridiplantae; Streptophyta; Magnoliopsida; Fabales; Fabaceae.